This 58-nucleotide non-coding RNA is filed under the name unclassified sequences. Its description in RNAcentral is "S15-Flavobacteria ribosomal protein leader". It matches the Rfam family "S15-Flavobacteria ribosomal protein leader". The record is from RNAcentral.
UAAAUUUGCACCCGUCCAAAGAGACUACAUAAUAAUUAUUUACAAUAAUAUUGGCAUG